AAACACAACGCGCACACACGUUCAGAAAAGGAAGAAAACGAGAAACAGGGGGAGCUCGAGGGGGAAGAAGAAGGGAAGGAGAGGGAGAAGAGCGUGCCGACGUCGCGCCCAGCUCGUCGCCGUGAAGCUGUCGCCGCUCUCAUCACGGGCCGUCGCUCGUUGUCGCUGCUGGGUUCUUCGUCAGCGCUUGAGGGUGAAAGACGCGCGUGAGAGAGGGAGGAGCCGCGCUGCUGCCGUUGUCCAUCCCGCCUCGCCACCUCUUCUUAACUCUCUUCUCCGGUCGUCCUCUUCUUCUCUUCUCAGGUUUUGGUAGAGCAAAAGUCGUCUACAAGGGUUAUCAUACUGAACGGGACAAGACAAUUGAAUGCCCUCUCUUUUUAUAUGAAUGGGGAUUCCAGCCAUGCUUUGAGGAUCUUUGACGAGGAGGCACAAGCUAUGCAAUCGGUUAGAAACUCAAGGCUUGAGCUGCAGAAUUCUACUGCACUUGUGGAAACCAUCCUUUCAUCAAUACAUGGGCAAAGGGAACGCUUGAAGAGUGCUCAUAGGAAAGCAUUGGAUAUGCUGAACACAUUGGGGAUGCCAAAUUUUGUUUUGAGGCUAGUUGAGCGAUGUGCUAAGCACAGUGGGGAUGAUAUGAAGAAAACAUUUUUCAUAGUAAUAUGAGAUGAGAUGGGUCUCAUAUAUAUAUAUAUAUAUAUAUUGAUGUGUUAUGUAUUUUACAUGAAAUGAAUAAAUUACACUGUAUUUUUAUUUGUG
This is a non-coding RNA of Arachis ipaensis, 756 nucleotides long. Lineage: Eukaryota; Viridiplantae; Streptophyta; Magnoliopsida; Fabales; Fabaceae. The record is from RefSeq and is a predicted model, not a curated record.